UCCUUUGUGGCUCAGUUGGUAAAGAAUCCACCUGCAAUGUGGGAGACCUGGGUUCAAUCCCUGGUUUGGGAA
Non-coding RNA from Bos taurus (domestic cattle), 72 nucleotides. The record is from Rfam. Lineage: Eukaryota; Metazoa; Chordata; Mammalia; Artiodactyla; Bovidae.